This 273-nucleotide ribosomal RNA is filed under the name uncultured bacterium. RNAcentral describes it as "partial 16S ribosomal RNA". It matches the Rfam family "Bacterial small subunit ribosomal RNA", at positions 524 to 794 of the family's 1533-position model. The record is from RNAcentral.
UACGUAGGGUGCAAGUAUUAUCCGGAGUGACUGGGCGUAAAGAGUUGCGUAGGUGGUUAGUAAAGCGAAUAGUGAAAUUUGACGGCUCAACCGUACAAACUAUUAUUCGAACUCACUAACUCGAGAAUGGUAGAGAUAACUGGAAUUUCUAGUGUAGGAGUGAAAUCCGUAGAUAUUAGAAGGAACACCAAUGGCGUAGGCAGGUUACUGGACCAUUUCUGACACUGAGGCACGAAAGCGUGGGGAGCGAACCGGAUUAGAAACCCGAGUAGU